Molecule: ribosomal RNA, 492 nt
Filed under: uncultured bacterium
Lineage: Bacteria
Description: partial 16S ribosomal RNA
Rfam family: Bacterial small subunit ribosomal RNA
Source: RNAcentral
AGUGAACGCUGGCGGUAGGCCUAACACAUGCCAGUCGAACGGCAGCACAGUAAGAGCUUGCUCUUACGGGUGGCGAGUGGCGGACGGGUGAGGAAUACAUCGGAAUCUACUUUUUCGUGGGGGAUAACGUAGGGAAACUUACGCUAAUACCGCAUACGACCUACGGGUGAAAGCAGGGAAUCUUCGGACCUUGCGCGAUUGAAUGAGCCGAUGUCGGAUUAGCUAGUUGGCGGGGUAAAGGCCCACCAAGGCGACGAUCCGUAGCUGGCCUGAGAGGAUGAUCAGCCACACUGGAACUGAGACACGGUCCAGACUCCUACGGGAGGCAGCAGUGGGGAAUAUUGGACAAUGGGCGCAAGCCUGAUCCAGCCAUACCGCGUGGGUGAAGAAGGCCUUCGGGUUGUAAAGCCCUUUUGUUGGGAAAGAAAAGCAGCAGGUUAAUACCCCGCUGUUCUGACGGUACCCAAAGAAUAAGCACCGGCUAACUUCGUG